CAUAUCUAAUUGGGCCCCAUGGAGUGAUACAUGCGUCUUGUGAACCUCCUUCGAGUUCUCAAAGCGAUUCCUUGAGGAUUUAGUUGUCUCAACAGCCUCAUAACUACAUCACGCUUGACACGCAGCUUGUGUUUUUGUUUGAGAACUUGCCACAUGGUCCGAUAUCCAAACAAUUGUCCUGGUCCUCGAAGCUCGGACAAAAUGGCACGCCUCACCUCAGGAAGUGGAGAAUAGUUGCCUCGUCUGUACAGUCCAGAUUCUUUUAAAUGUGUUUUCAGUGUACGCAUACUAAUUGCAAUGUCAUGAUUACACUUGAGCAUAUCCAGUAUCACCUCGUAUGUAUGUCCUGAAUCAAAAUAUUCUCGAAUAACGACAGCUAUGUUUGGGUCACCGCUAAUGUUCAUGUUUGAAAAAAAUGCGCCACAGGCAGAGUAACUUCCGGUUCCAAAGAUGAACAGCGCGGACGUCCAAUCAGUGAUGUCUCCUGUUGCCGACUGGUACCUACCCUUUCCGGUUUUCUUAAUGUAAUUGUGCUUCUCAAUUUGUUUUUGUGAUUCUUCUUUUGUUUUUGUGCUUCUUGAUUUGUUUUUGUGAUUCUUCUUUUGUUUUUGUGCUUCUUGAUUUGUUUUUGUGAUUCUUCUUUUGUUUUUGUGCUUCUUGAUUUGUUUUUGUGAUUCUCAGUUUUGUUUUUGUGCUUCUCAAUUUUGUUUUUGUGCUUCUCAAUUUUGUUUUUGUGAUUCUCAGUUUUGUUUUUGUGAUACUCCAUUUGUUUUUUUGUUUCUCGAUUUUGUUGUUGUGUUUAGCAAUUUCUUGGUGUGAUUUGCACUUCAGGGCCUCUCAAUUUUGUUGUUGUGUUUAGCAAUUUGUUGGUGUGAUUUGCACUUCAGGGCCACUGUAGAUUUGUGCUUAAUAUAGUAUUUCUGCUAAAUGUAGUAUUUAUGCUUAAUCAUACUAUUUCUAUAUAUUUCUGCCAGGCAGCCAAUCCUCUGUGAGGACUGAGACGUUCAAAUUUUCAAAUCAGGGCCUGCACGGUUUCCCAGCCAAUCAUAUAUGUGUCCUGAGGCAUUCAAAUUUGCAUAUUGGGGCCUUCAUGGCUUCUAAGCCAGCCAAUCAUAUCUGAGGGCUGAGGAAUUC
This is a long non-coding RNA of Astatotilapia calliptera (eastern happy), 1134 nucleotides long. The record is from Ensembl. Lineage: Eukaryota; Metazoa; Chordata; Actinopteri; Cichliformes; Cichlidae.